Long non-coding RNA from Ostrea edulis (European flat oyster), 391 nucleotides. RefSeq lists it as uncharacterized. The transcript has 3 exons. NCBI's taxonomy places the organism in Eukaryota, Metazoa, Mollusca, Bivalvia, Ostreida, Ostreidae. The record is from RefSeq and is a predicted model, not a curated record.
GCUUAAUGUUGAAAUCAAUUUUACAGGGUAGCAGUUACUUGAGAUGUCCAGCUGAUUGAUGAGGAUAAUUUCCCUGAGACUCUAACAUUUUGUAGGACUUGGAUAGCUCUAUUGCUGUAAAAAUUGUCAGGACGGUGGAGAUUUAGAUAAGUGGUGUGAUGUUACUGAUGGUAAACAGAAGACUGCGACCUUGAAUCUGAAGAUCUGUGAUGAAGACCGGACGUUUGGGGUCACUCUCUGUUACAGUACUACAAAUCUAACAGUGUCUAACUCAGCCACAAAGAGGUUGUCUCUGAUGUCCACACAUAAACCUAAUGGAGACUCUAAAUGACAGUGAAUGUAACGGAGGAACUGUCCGUCCUGAUCUAGGAUGUGGAUACGGUCAUUGACA